RNAcentral lists this ribosomal RNA (413 nucleotides) under uncultured bacterium. RNAcentral describes it as "bacterial SSU rRNA". It matches the Rfam family "Bacterial small subunit ribosomal RNA", at positions 505 to 916 of the family's 1533-position model. The record is from RNAcentral.
GUGUCAGCCGCCGCGGUAAUACAGAGGGUGCAAGCGUUAAUCGGAAUUACUGGGCGUAAAGCGCACGUAGGUGGAUAUUUAAGUCGGAAGUGAAAGCCCUGGGCUUAACCUGGGAAUUGCCUCCGAUACUGGACAUCUAGAAUAUGGUAGAGGGUAGUGGAAUUUCCGGUGUAGCGGUGAAAUGCGUAGAUAUCGGAAGGAACACCAGUGGCGAAAGCGGCUACCUGGACCAAUAUUGACACUUAGGUGCGAAAGCGUGGGGAGCAAACAGGAUUAGAUACCCUGGUAGUCCACGCCGUCAACGAUGAGAACUAGCCGUUGGAAGAUUAAUUUCUUUUAGUGGCGAAGCUAACGCGUUAAGUUCUCCGCCUGGGGAGUACGGCCGCAAGGUUAAAACUUAAAGGAAUUGACGG